Molecule: non-coding RNA, 172 nt
Filed under: Enterococcus asini
Lineage: Bacteria; Bacillati; Bacillota; Bacilli; Lactobacillales; Enterococcaceae
Also listed under: 1 other name
Description: Lysine sequence
Rfam family: Lysine riboswitch aptamer
About the family: Riboswitches are metabolite binding domains within certain messenger RNAs that serve as precision sensors for their corresponding targets. Allosteric rearrangement of mRNA structure is mediated by ligand binding, and this results in modulation of gene expression.
Source: RNAcentral
UCACCGAGUAGAGGUUGCGAAGGUCAUUACACCUGCAGAGCAUAGCAUUGCACUGAAGCAGGCCUAGGGACAUUCGCCGAAACGACAAGGGGAUGCUACUCCUUUUUCGUUGGGCUGCAAAUGAACAAUUUGCAGACUGUCUUGGCAAUUGCCAAGGUGCGCUAUGUUUUGU